CAAUAUAGCAGGAGGAAAACAAUACAGCGCUGCCCCUGUCAGUCUCAAACACAGAAGCAGCACACCCAUGCUACAAACACUCACAGAUGCACAGCACCGUAUCAGAUUAUUAGCUCCAAGGCAACUGUCAGCAUGCAGUUUUAUUGGAAAUGAAAACAAGGUCUUCCCAGCUCUAUCAUCACUCAGAGAUGCAGGAAGAAGAUCCUGCAGGGCACUGUGGAAAGAUCCGCAUCCAGCAGUACUGUUUGGACAGUCGUACUCGACCAUCAUUUCCCAAACGUGAGAUGUUCAACUGCUGCUCAGGAUGUCCCCACCAAGGGGAGCAUCCCUCCUUGGACACUGAUCUCUGCAGUCCUGAUGCUGAAUUAUUCUGGGAAGGAGUAUCAGGGGAACAAAUUAGUGAGGUGUUCUUACCAGAAAAUCCCGUGGCUACAGCUACCUGCAAGCAACAGGGCCCAGAGACUUGUACUUCCCUAUUCUGAUGCCUAAGCUUGAGGUUUGCCAGCACCUCUUGGUGAGCAGGAAGCUUCCAGCUGUGUUAGCUCUUCUGACAUGGCAAUUGCUCCAAAGGAGUUUCUCCAUCCUCCCUAUCUUUGCCUUAGUGGAAGGCUGAGAAGCCCUUGGCUGACAGCCAUUCCAAUACAUCUUGCAGGUAAUCCAUAGUUUCCUGGGUCAGAGCAGCUUCUCAGCAGCAAUCCUCUACUCUUAAAGUCAGUCCCCUUUCCUAGGUGGGAUACUUCUGCAGCACAAUCCCGUGUUCUGCCCUGGGUGAAGUUAGCCAGGACUUUGCACUCUCAAGGUCUUCAUCCAAAGCAGAAGUAACACAGCAAAAUGGACGUCAUGCUCAACCAAGAAGUAGUUGACACUAUCAGGACUUGGAGGAAUUAAAAUAAAUGACCAAAGUAAUUUUUGGCAGAGGACUCGAUUUCAAAGGACAAUGCACUGUCCAUUCUUCCCAGGGGAUGUUCUGGGAUAGACCUGCAUGAGUAACCUACAGCCAUUUUGAGCCAUCCCCUACUGCCCUCAGCAAGAACUUUCUGACCAAAACUUCAGGUGGAACGUACCAGCUAAGUGUGCUCAAGAUAUAUCACCCAAAGGACUGACACCACCAGCAGGACCAAAAGGAUGAUGUGUUCAGCAUGCUCAGGUUGGGCUUCGUGCCCAAAGGCAGCUGGUUUGUCCUCAUGGGGCAAGUCCUGCAUUGCCCAGGAAACACACUGUGCAAAUCCAUCGUGGAGGCUAGAACACAUCCAUGCAUGGAUCCUGAAGACUAACCUUGUCCCCUUCUCCAGGUGCCUGGGAACCUUGGCCACACACACGUACAGACCAGCCAGGUGCUGCAGGAAGCAGCAGGAUGAUAGAUGGCAGCUGCAAGCUGAGAGGUACAUGCACAAAACCCAUUUUUUUCUCCGCAAGGUUCAAAUAUUUUUGCUCCAUCUGAGGCUUGGAUCCAGGUUCUCCUGCAUGGCAGUCAGAGAUGCUGGAAAAGGCUCAACAUUAGAGCUCAGGAAUGGGGGCUCAGGUUCUGUUCCCCAGCUUAGGGCAGUGCUGGUAAAGAUCUGCCCUCACCCAGGCGCCUGGGAAGCUUUUGGCUGCUGCUGGCAUUAGUGCAGAAAGCAAGAAGACAUUUACUUCCAGGAACAGAUGCAAACACAGGGAAUUGCCAAUUGGCCAAAAUCAAAUACAACCUGACCUCUGAUGAUCUGCAGCCUUACUACUUUCAAACAACACUGCACUCAAUAUUGGCAAUAUAAUAGUUUACCUUGGAGACCCAAGGGCUAAAGGAGAAAUGAAACCUGAAGCUGCUGGAGAUGUUGCUUUUCCACUGUUUCUAUUACCGAUAACAGGCCAGCAAAACCCCACGAGGUUCUUGAGCUCUAGGAGAGCCUGCCUGCACCUCCUCCCCAAGACUUCGUGCCAAAAUACCCCAAAACUUAAGAGCUGGGCUUCAUCAGAGCACCUGAUAAAUAUAGAAAGUAGAGAAUGAUCUGGAAUAGUGAUGUUCUACCCUGGGAGGAAGGUCCUUUCUUUUGGGUUUCCUUUCAGUCCUGCAACCUCCCAGCAAUCCCCUGGGUAAUCACAAAGCCUUGCUGCCCCCAGAAAAGCCCCUUUCUUUCCUUUGAAGGGGAGCUGACACCCACAGGGAACAAACCCUAAGUCAGAAAUAAUGGGAGUCCUUUGAAAAAAACCAAAAACAUCCGAGUCUGAAUAUAACCACAAGGAAAAAAAUGGAAACUUAUCUGCAAUAUGCACCCCCUCCCAAGCAAAUUAAUACCCUGGACCAGAGCCUUGUCCAGAAGCAGUGUAAAUAUCUCAGCAACUCAUUACCUUGUUAAUUGGAUCACUCCAAGCUUUUUGGAACCAGUCUAAAGCACAGUCAAAUCCAUUAAAAAAUGGAUUUCUUAUUUCUCUAUAGCUGUCUCUAGCUUUAGUGCUUUUUCUAUUAAACAUUGGCUAGAGUAGCUUCUCCCUUUACCUCAACUCUUUCCCAGCAAGGCACUUCCUACAUUUUUGAUGUGUGCCCUUCUUCCUGCCCCCGAGGUGCCGUGUGGGUGCUGGUAGGGUACGCUGGGAGCAAUAACCCUCCUCCUGCCAAACUGCCCCUCCUCAUCCUGUUCCCACAUCCUGGGAUCUCCCUCACUUGGAUGCUCCAACCCCAGCACAGAGGAGAAAUGCAUCCGGGGACACUCUGAGCUGCACUUUGCACUUAUUUCCUAAGAAACUAAAGAUGUGUGUGGGGGGGAACCAACACAUUGCUUCCAUCCCCUGUACAAACCUUUCACUUACCAAGGCAUCCACGUGCUUGCCUACUGAUUAAGAGCACUAGGGCCACUGUGUGAGAUUGGACACGACAGGAGCAUAAGGGGAGCCAUAUGCUCCGCCAGGAGAGGAGCAUACAGCCAUUAGGAGGGGGGCUGGUGCUCAGGGCCAUGGCUGAAGCUGCAGGGAUGUGGGUGCUGCUCCCCUCACAGUUCAGCCUUUCACAUCCCCAAGGACCAGCGAUGCCCUCACUGAGGGCAGUGCAAGGAGGUGGCAUCCAAGUACCAACCAUCUUUUGCACAGAGGGAGCCCCUCCAUUUGUUUUUCCAGGACCUAGCAGCCCAGCCUUCUCCUUGCCCUAUGAAAAAACCACUUGGCCUCCCUGCAGCAUCAGCAGCGCUGGGUGAUGGGACCCAGGGCUCCUGCUUCAGGCAUCCUCAAACUGCCACCAUGUCCCUAAGGCAGAGCACAGCCAGGGCCAGGCAAAAAGUCCUCCCACAACUGCGCUAAAACCUUUUAACAGCCAAGAACCAUUUUCUGCAUGGCGUGUCAAGCAGUAAAGCUGUUGAAUAGGCAGGGCCAGGGGUUGGUUUAGAGUGUAGCAGCACGGAAUGCCUUUUUCCCAGCAUCUGUGGUGGUCAGGGAAGUCUUUAAGCCCCUUCACUGUUUUUCUGGCAGCACCUUCCCACAUCUGCGGGUCUGCACAGUGAACUGUAUCACUGGCACAGCUGGAGUUAAUUUUGACUUCUGAAAGAGGGAAGGAGGAUUAUGUUUAUAUAUAUGCAUAUAAAAAUGUGUAUUUUUAAACACAGGAAAUCCUGGUUCCUCCCUGGGGCUUGGCUGGAUGGGUCGCAGGGCCAAAGGAAAUGCUCUGCAGCAGCACCCUGCAUGCCAAGCACUUUACCAGGGCAGGUUUUUGCAGCUGUUGGGCUCCUUAUGUCCAUACCCAGCCUGCAAAGCACCCCGUGGCAUGGUGGGGAUAAACCUUGGUGAACAUGGCUGUCAUUGUGCUGCUGGAUGCGUGCCCUGAGGUCUCACCACAUCAUGCCAUGUGCUGGUGCUGCUGCUUGGCCAUCCAGCUGCUAUCCUGAGGGGAGCACAGAAC
Molecule: long non-coding RNA, 3865 nt
Organism: Gallus gallus (chicken)
Lineage: Eukaryota; Metazoa; Chordata; Aves; Galliformes; Phasianidae
Source: Ensembl